Molecule: transfer-messenger RNA, 350 nt
Filed under: Palleronia aestuarii
Lineage: Bacteria; Pseudomonadati; Pseudomonadota; Alphaproteobacteria; Rhodobacterales; Roseobacteraceae
Description: Maribius sp. Y26 Alphaproteobacteria transfer-messenger RNA
Rfam family: Alphaproteobacteria transfer-messenger RNA
About the family: Bacterial tmRNA, also known as 10Sa RNA or SsrA, is named for its dual tRNA and mRNA-like properties. Its role is to liberate the mRNA from a stalled ribosome.
Source: Rfam by way of RNAcentral
CAUCUUGAAAUCCGGUCGCAACUUGCGUAGAUCUGGAUCGUUCCUUCGGGGACUAUGGUGAUAAACGCGCAAGUAAUAAGCGGAUCGGACCCGGGGGCGGUACCCGGCGGCUCCACCAAACAUCCCAUCGUUGGGGAUCAUGGGGCCGAAACAGGAUCGACGGACGUCUAAAGUUGUUGCUUUUACUCGGUGAGGUACCACCGUUAUCGGUCCGGAAAAGUACAAUUGCCAACGACAAUCGUGCUCCGGUCGCCGUCGCAGCCUAAGCUGUGACAAGACCGAAAUCUAAGCCCUUGCGCCUAGCAGCGUAAGGCGGGGUCCGCAGGCACCUGGCAACAGAAGCCUGCAUU